AUACGUAGGGGGCAAGCGUUAUCCGGAUUUACUGGGUGAAACGGGAGCGUAGACGGCGAUGCAAGUCUGAAGUGAAAACCCGGGGCUCAACCCCGUGGACUGCUUUGGAAACUGUGUUGCUGGAGUGCAGGAGAGGUGAGUGGAAUUCCUAGUGUAGCGGUGAAAUGCGUAGAUAUUAGGAGGAACACCAGUGGCGAAGGCGUCUCACUGGACUGUAACUGACGUUGAGGCUCGAAAGCGUGGGGAGCAAACAGGAUUAGAUACCCGGGUAGUCCACGCCGUAAACGAUGAAUGCUAGGUGUCGGGGGGCAAAGCCCUUCGGUGCCGCCGCUAACGCAUUAAGCAUUCCACCUGGGGAGUACGUUCGCAAGAAUGAAACUCAAAGGAAUUGACGGGG
RNAcentral lists this ribosomal RNA (397 nucleotides) under uncultured bacterium. RNAcentral's name for it is "partial 16S ribosomal RNA". It matches the Rfam family "Bacterial small subunit ribosomal RNA", at positions 523 to 918 of the family's 1533-position model. The record is from RNAcentral.